Non-coding RNA from Camelina sativa (false flax), 1166 nucleotides. Lineage: Eukaryota; Viridiplantae; Streptophyta; Magnoliopsida; Brassicales; Brassicaceae. The record is from RefSeq and is a predicted model, not a curated record.
AUACUAAAAAGAAAAACUUCACUUGAGCCUUGUUCGUAUCUAAAAGUUUUAAUUACCCCUAUAUUCUUUUCCCUUCUCUAUACGAUGAACAAGAAAAAAAAAAUCCCCAAACUGAAAUCUAGGUCUUCAGUCUUCUCGACUCCACCACAGACUCCACCGCGAAGCUCGUCGCCGGCCUCAUUUCGCAUCCAUUAUGUCAACUCCGAGCCUAAGACUGAAGACGCCAAUGGAGACAACACCAAUCAGGACAAAGAUCGAGACUGAGAUUGAGAUGGGGACCGAGUACGUGACCGCGACUGGGAGAAUGAUAGGGGUGAGAUCGAGAUUGCGAUAGGAAUAGAGACAGAGAGAGAGAGAGAGAGACCGUGAGCGUGAAUGCGUAGGUUCGGAUUUUGUGAAACAAUCAAGAGUUUUAUGUUCUUCUUAUUCGUCCAAGUGCACCCACCAGAUUGGUUCUACUACGAUUGAAGUAAAGACAAAAGAGGGAGAUGUUCUUGCAAUCAUGAAGCGUAAGGAGAUAAUAAGAAGGUUUGAGAACUAAGUCUUUUUGUGAAUUUUUUGUUUAUCAUUUUCAUGUUUGGAUGUUCUCUAAACAUUUUGAAUCUCAUAUAAGAAAGAAGAAGGCUGUUCACAAGACCAUUACAACCGAUGACAAGUUUUGUUGUCCCUUCUUUCGAUCUCCCUUGCUCAAACUUUGUUUUCGUUGAGCUGUUGUUUUUAUUCUCAUUUUUUUGUGUAGAAAGGAGAUAAGAGAGCCAGUCAGCCAGAAAUUCUAGGCCACAAGUGUGUGACUGUUUGGAGUUUCCAACAUGAAUAAAGAGUCUGGCGCCUGAGCAGAGGUAACAGAAGAAAUUAUUUUCAAUAAAACCCUCCUGCAGAGAUUGUGGAAUGGCCUGAAUCUGGUGACAAGCCCAUACAGAGGGAAUAUGGAUGGGAAUGCUAACCGGAACAGUUCUUCAGACAUGUGUACUGCUUUUGAUGGGAAGGCGAAAUAGAUAGAGGAGAAGAGACGGAAGAUAUCGCAAGUUUGUCUCAAUCCUUAUAAGUUUUAAUGUUAGCUUUUUUGGAUAAAACUUGGCAGCAUAGUACAAGACUUGUAUGAUAUGUAAGACUUGUUUAAAUUAAUGUUAUGUAUGUUGAUGAUAUUUAUGAAAUAAUUUUUUUUU